CGUACGAUUCGAACAAAGCAGAACGCUUUCAAUACAGACCGGCAUCGUCUGAAGUCAUUGUGUUCCGACUUGGAGCAAGUCAUUUCUGUAUAUUAAAGCCCAAGAAAAAUUUUCACAGUCGGCGGUGUAAUCCUAAUUUUCAGUGGAAAAAAUUCCCAUUUGAUAAUUCCAUCUCGAUUGUGGACGAGUUGAUGAGUUUCGAGAAGUGGCCGAGGCUCAAAGUCGCGAGUACUUAAUAAACCUUGUUUUGGAAACUUGCUGGUGAUUUACUUCCGAACAACAAGAAGACACAAUUGAAAAAUUUUGUUGUGAAAAUGAAUUUCUUUUUUCUUAUUGCUUUCGUUAUAAUUUUAAUAAAUGUUGGUCUUACGUUUCCAAUGGGUCACGUUAAAGAAUCAGAAGAUUUGGAACUGGCGGAAACAUUAGUUUUUCGACCAUUAUUUGCUUCCAGACUACCGCAACGAAGAAGAACAACCCGUCGGAUUUAAUACUUUAUUUAUAAUAAUGAUUACUCUCUUUACAUUAUUGGUAAUAUAACAAAAUAAAUAUUU
Long non-coding RNA from Tribolium castaneum (red flour beetle), 551 nucleotides. RefSeq lists it as uncharacterized. The record is from RefSeq and is a predicted model, not a curated record. NCBI's taxonomy places the organism in Eukaryota, Metazoa, Arthropoda, Insecta, Coleoptera, Tenebrionidae. The transcript has 3 exons.